GACGAACGCUGGCGGCGUGCUUAAUACAUGCAAGUCGAGCGGAAGGGCCCUGCGUUUGCUGCGUGGAUGUUUGCCGAAGGGGUGAGUAACACGUGAGUAACCUGUCCCUGUAAUUGGGAUAACUUCUGGGAAAACGGGAGCUUAUCGGGGAGGAGCUUCUGCUGCAUGUUGGGGGUAGGAAAGAUUCGGCGGUGGGGGAUGGUAUCGCUGCUUAUCCGCUUCUUGGGGUGGUAGUGGCUUACCAAGGGUUUGAGGGCUAGCCCGCCUGAGAGGGUGACCGGCGACAAUGGGACUGAGAUACGGACCAGUCUCCUACGGGACGCAGCAGUGGAGAAUAUUGCACAAUGGGCGGAAGCCUGAGGCAGCAGCGCCGGGAGCGUAAUGCCGUCCUUCGGGUUGAAAACCGAUGUCUCCUGUGCCGAAGCGUGAGUGACGGUAAUGAGUCAAGAAGCACCGGCUAACCACGUG
RNAcentral lists this ribosomal RNA (468 nucleotides) under uncultured bacterium. RNAcentral describes it as "partial 16S ribosomal RNA". It matches the Rfam family "Bacterial small subunit ribosomal RNA", at positions 28 to 507 of the family's 1533-position model. The record is from RNAcentral.